CUACACUGGGUAACACUGAUAAUUUUGGCAGAGAUUCAGGCUGUUUCUUUGUAGAGAAUGUCAGAUCCAAAAUAAACUCAGCCCAAGUGUUUAGCUGAGUGGUGGUCUGGAGUGUUCCUGCUCCAGUUGCUUCUAAUUUGUACUUUAGAAAGGAAUUAAUUCCUGUAGGCAGGGGAUCUCAAAGGCAGCAACUGAAUGCCAUAGCCCAUACUCUAAGAUCCAUAAGAAUUGCGCACUCCUGCACAGAGAUCUUAUUUUGAUUGUUGGCAUGAGAAGAAAGUGUGUGUCCAGGCUGGGCAAAUAUGGGAUUAUUAUAGGAAUAUCCAUAGCCUUUGAAGCUUUUGUAAAGUUCUGUCAGGGAGAAGGAUAAACUAAUUGUAAACAACAGAUUAAAGGGCUAGUCAUUAUGUCAUAAUGUUUGCUGUUGUCGAUUAGGCUCCUAUCUGGUGUUGAAUUUAUUAUUUUUAAAAGAGGCAGACUAUUCUUCCUCAUUAACAACAAACUGAAGAGUCAAUCUGAAUGAAACAAAGGACCCAUGCAGCUAAGUGGCCUGGAAAGAUACGCCCCAGCACCACUCCUGAGAUACUGACACCUCCAGCACCAGCACCAGUACCAGCUGCAGCCCCCGUUGCCAUGGUGCUCCUGCCAACGUUCACUCCCUGCGCUGCCGGGGUCCAGCUCACAUCUUUCCUCUUUGAAAACAGAAAGGCCACAACACCCUGUUCUGCGGCCCAUUUAUUCCAGCCUGCUUGGAAGCCCUGACUUCCUACAUGGGAGUCCUCCAGACUUCUGACAGCAUUUCAUCCCAACCCAAUCAUAUCAUCCACUGGCAAAUCCUAUGCCCUAAGCACCUGGGUGCUUAAUUCCUUUCAGUCCAAUUAUGAACAAUGAUUCUUUGAAAUCUCUUCCCUGUUAAGGAGUCAUGGUGACAGUUGUUUGUAUUCCUUCACACAGGUUACCAUUCACUCUCUGCCAUAUAUAUACUAUAUCUAUAGCCAAAGACACUAUCUACUAGGCUCAAACCCUUGGUCUGCAGAAGACUUUCUAUUCAAAAUACAGUUGUGAGAAAAAAUGUGUGAACCCUUAGGAAUUAUACCUUGAUUAUACCUUAGAAAUGACCUUGAUGUUUAUACCAUUUGCUCAAUAAAGAUAUUACAAUGUAAAAGGUUGUGUGUGUUGUUUGUUAAAUAAGACUGUCUUUAUUUGUUAUUAUGACUUAGAUGAAGAUCAGAUCAUAUUCUAGGAGCCAUUCAUGCAGAAAUCCAGAUAAUUUCAAAGGGUUCACAAACUUUUUCUCACAACUUUAUGUCCUUGUGCACAAAAAAAAUAGUUUAUAUCCAGUCCUAGACCUGAGAAACUUCAACAUGCUUGCAUGAUGCAUUUUAAACUGUUUAUGCACAAGCAUGUACAUUCCAUGUCCAUCUGGUUCCAGUCAUACACAGCUCAAUAUAGGUUAAUUGUAAAUACAGUUAGUUUAUCUGUGUUUUGUCAAAAGAUAAGCAUCUUAACAGGCAAACUGAAAUUAUUUUAAGGAAAUUUUUUUUUUUGCUGGAUGUAUAAAAUUUCACAAGGAAUAUAAAGCAACUUGGGGCAGAAUUCUAUGCAGGUGUUUCACUGCAGUGGUUUUGCAAAACGUAUAAAUGACAAAAUUAAACAUAAAGUGACCCCUCAGACCUUUAUAAUGCCCCUUUAGGGAGCUGUUCUUUCUUUUGCUUUCUUGUUGACUGACAAUAUCUUUGCAAUGAGUAGGAGAGUUAAAUAUACUGUGGUAAACAAGAAUACCACUUCCCAGUGGGACAAGAAUAUCAGGCAGCCAGCCAACCAAAGCAUACACUACUAUUUAAUUAUGGAGCUGAAACAUUUAUUUUAAAUCCCAUUUGACUCUCAGUGGGAAAGUUAUGGCUUAUAGCUGUUUUUGAAAAAUACCAGUUAUAGGUCUUUAGAAGCAAUUAAUAUGUUACUUGUAAUAUUAAAAGCAUUUACAAAAUUUGUUAGGGUUAGUGGUAUGGUUCAGGCUGUACUCAAGUUGAGGC
Lepisosteus oculatus (spotted gar) is the source of this 2033-nucleotide long non-coding RNA. The record is from Ensembl. Lineage: Eukaryota; Metazoa; Chordata; Actinopteri; Semionotiformes; Lepisosteidae.